Echinops telfairi (small Madagascar hedgehog) is the source of this 130-nucleotide small nucleolar RNA. The record is from Ensembl. NCBI's taxonomy places the organism in Eukaryota, Metazoa, Chordata, Mammalia, Afrosoricida, Tenrecidae.
GCGCUGCCUUUGAACCCGCUGCGCCGGCCCGUGGCGCAGGGGGUUAAGCUGCAGCGCCAGAGCAGGUGCUGGCACAUAACUGGGGCCACCAAGCCUCUGCGGGCGGCCCUUUUAACCGCGAGCGACAUGG